UGGUCAAGUUAUUAAGGGUGCAGGGCGGAUGCCUUGGCACUAGGAGCCGAUGAAGGACGUGAUAAGCUGCGAUAAGCUUCGGGGAGUUGCACGUAAACUUUGAUCCGAAGAUUUCCGAAUGAGGAAACUCACUUAGAGUAAUGUCUAAGUAUCAUUAAGUGAAUACAUAGCUUAAUGAGGGGAACUCAGGGAACUGAAACAUCUAAGUACCUGAAGGAAGAGAAAGAAAUUCGAUUCCGUAAGUAGCGGCGAGCGAACGCGGAUUAGCCCAAACCAAUAAAGUUUUCUUUAUUGGGGUUGCGGACAUAUCAUAACGAAGAGGUAUCGUAAUUGAAGAGGUUUGGAAAGACCCACCACAGAAGGUAAUAGUCCUGUAUGUUAAACGAGAAGACUUUAGAUAUGAUCCAGAGUACCACGGGACACGUGAAACCCUGUGGGAAGCAGGAGGGACCACCCUCCAAGGCUAAAUACUACCUAGUGACCGAUAGCGUAUAGUACCGUGAGGGAAAGGUGAAAAGAACCCCGGGAGGGGAGUGAAAUAGAACCUGAAACCCUGCACUUACAAGCUGUGGAAGCACAUUUCUUGUGUGACCGCGUACUUUUUGUAGAACGGGCCAACGAGUUACGUUAAGUAGCAAGGUUAAGCACUUAAGGUGCGGAGCCGUAGCGAAAGCGAGUUUUAACUGAGCGUUCAGUUACUUGACGUAGACCCGAAACCGGGCGACCUACCCAUGAGCAGGAUGAAGCGAAAGUAAAAUUUCGUGGAGGUCCGAACCCACGAGCGUUGAAAAGCUCGGGGAUGACUUGUGGGUAGCGGUGAAAUUCCAAUCGAGCCCGGAGAUAGCUGGUUCUCCCCGAAAUAGCUUUAGGGCUAGCAUCAAGGUGAGAGAUACGGAGGUAGAGCACUGAAUGUCCUAGGGGGUAUUGCACCUACCGAAGACUAUCAAACUCCGAAUGCCGUCAUCUUAUACUUGGGAGUCAGACUGUGGGUGAUAAGAUUCAUAGUCGAAAGGGCAACAGCCCAGAUCGUCAGCUAAGGUCCCUAAAUGUAAGUUAAGUGGUAAAGGAUGUGGGAUUGCACAGACAACCAGGAUGUUGGCUUAGAAGCAGCCACUCAUUCAAAGAGUGCGUAAUAGCUCACUGGUCGAGUGAUCCUGCGCCGAAGAUUUCCGGGGCUAAAACUUACUACCGAAGCUACGGCAUCAGUAAUGAUGGGUAGGGGAGCUUCCCAUACGGGUUGAAGCAUGACCGUAAGGACAUGUGGACAGUAUGGGAGUGAGAAUGUUGGCAUGAGUAGCGAGAUGUGGGUGAGAAUCCCACAGGCCGUAAACCCAAGGUUUCCAGGGGAAGGUUCGUCCGCCCUGGGUUAGUCGGGACCUAAGCUGAGGCCGAAAGGCGUAGGUGAUGGACAACAGGUUGAUAUUCCUGUACUACCGAUAACCGUUUGAGAGAAGGGAUGACACAGUAGGAUAAGCUAAGCACACUGUUGGUUAUGUGUGCCCAAGCAUUGAGGCAGUCAAAGUAGGCAAAUCCGCUUUGAUAAUGCUGGGAUGUGAUGGGGAGCGAAAUUUAGUAGCGAAGUAGCUGAUUUCACACUGUCAAGAAAAGUCUCUAUCGAGGUUAAAGGUACCCGUACCGCAAACCGACACAGGUGGGUGAGGAGAGUAUCCUAAGGCCAGCGAGAGAACUGAUGUUAAGGAACUCGGCAAAAUGACCCCGUAACUUAGGGAUAAGGGGUGCCACCAUCAGGUGGCCGCAGAGAAUAGGCCCAAGCGACUGUUUACCAAAAACAUAGGUUUCUGCUAAGUCGCAAGACGAUGUAUAGGAGCUGACGCCUGCCCGGUGCUGGAAGGUUAAGGGGAUCUG
Molecule: ribosomal RNA, 1866 nt
Filed under: Clostridioides difficile
Lineage: Bacteria; Bacillati; Bacillota; Clostridia; Peptostreptococcales; Peptostreptococcaceae
Description: partial 23S ribosomal RNA
Rfam family: Bacterial large subunit ribosomal RNA
Source: RNAcentral